Molecule: long non-coding RNA, 608 nt
Organism: Nycticebus coucang (slow loris)
Lineage: Eukaryota; Metazoa; Chordata; Mammalia; Primates; Lorisidae
Exons: 5
Source: RefSeq, a predicted model, not a curated record
UGAGAAGUCAGCUGUCUACGAAAAGGGCUCUCAACAAAACCCAACUUGCCAGCACGCUAAUCUUAGAGUUCCCAGCCUCCAGAACUGUGAUUCCACAGAGGGGAAGAAAAAUAAAAUUGACUUUCUUAGCUCAAGUUUGACAGGUGAGUAACAGAACAUAUUCCAACUAUACUGAUGAAGUCAACUGCCCAUGUCCAAAUCAUAGGUCUUACGAAAAAAAUAUAUGCUUUCCUGUGACAUGAAGAUGAAUGACUCAAUGGCAAGUUCAAGAAUCCUACAGCAAAAGUAGUGCAGUCAUAAAAAUGUUUGGAUUUUGAAGGACCCAUAUAAGAAGGGCAAUUGCUACUUUAAAGUAACAUCCAUGGGAACUACUGCAGGAGUCAUAUCCAUCACUGUUGCCCUUGUAGUCCUCCAAGCACUCAUUCAGUCUUGGAAGCCCUAUCUUUGCCUAAUCUCUUGAUGGCAAGGAGGCAGCUUAGUUAUGACACUGCCAAGUGAUACGAAGAAAAGGAAAACUGGGUAAUCAUGACAGAGAAAAUUGAAAGAAGAGUAAACCAAGAAGCCAUGCUAUGAAGCCAAAUGAGGAGAAGCUAAAGCACAACUCACAA